RNAcentral lists this non-coding RNA (49 nucleotides) under unclassified sequences. Its description in RNAcentral is "L31-Gammaproteobacteria ribosomal protein leader". It matches the Rfam family "L31-Gammaproteobacteria ribosomal protein leader". The record is from RNAcentral.
AAUGCGGUGCCCGGCAGAAGAUCGGGUAGCGGCAUUGCCCUGGAGAGGU